Molecule: transfer RNA, 54 nt
Filed under: Sarcoptes scabiei
Lineage: Eukaryota; Metazoa; Arthropoda; Arachnida; Sarcoptiformes; Sarcoptidae
Description: tRNA-His
Source: RNAcentral
GAUAUUUCAGUUUCAAUAAAUAUUAACUUGUGGAGUUAAAGAUUAAUAAUAUCA